Molecule: non-coding RNA, 489 nt
Organism: Vigna umbellata (rice bean)
Lineage: Eukaryota; Viridiplantae; Streptophyta; Magnoliopsida; Fabales; Fabaceae
Source: RefSeq, a predicted model, not a curated record
UUCGAACUAGAAGCUGAAGUUGCAAAACUUAAGAAAAUAAACAGAGAAUUGGAAAGAAAACAGGUAUGCUGUCAUUCUGCACCACAUCCUUAUCACUUAUCAGUAAAAUGUAUACAAAGGUUUUGGUCUUCUCUGAUUACAAUUGGUUUGUUACAGGCAGAAAUUAAGGAAAUGCAGAAAAACAAGGAUUCAGACUCUGCAUGCCAGCCAAGGGUAAGUAAAAUACAAUGCUUGAGAAGGACACUUACAGGACCAUGGUAGUGGUAGACAAUGUGAGUAGUUGUUUCUGAGUAACAGAUAUCCGAAGGAGAAAAUCAUUGUUGUGUCAUAAGAACCGGGGUAUGUUUGUGAACUGUGAGGUAAUUGCAGUUCAACACUAGAUAGGAUGGUAGCUAGCUAUUAUUAGUUUUAUGUAUAGGAACUAGGAGUGGUGAGUUGUACAUUAUUAAACAUGUAUAUUCAAAUAAUGAAUUAUUAUAUGUGCUUGAA